UAAUAAAAUUGGUCGCAAAAAAGUGACGCUCGUCGUUAAUUACCCAAUAAAUUAAUUUAAAGUGUUAUUUUACCAUUAAAUUAGUAAAAUAUUUAUGCUAAUAGUUUAAUCUAAUAAAAAAUCUAUUAAAAAUUCCAAAAAUUAAGUGUUAAAUUAAAGUUUUUCUUAAAAAAUUUCCAUAAAAAAGUGAAGAAACAAAAGAAAAUAGUAAAAUAAAAAGAAGCAGCAUCAAAUAAAAAAGCCCUUUGCUUAGGCAUGUUUCUUUAUUUGUUUGUUUGUGUAUGUAUCCCUUAUAGAGAAGUGUCUUAAAUUUGUUAUUGUUUUGAUUUGCAUUUGAGAUGAGAAUUAUAUUUAUUGUUGUUUUUUGCAUUAUACUAAAAGUGAGCGCAAAAAAGAAGAAAAAGAACAAAAAAAACUUCUCUAUAAUAAAAGCAAAGGCAAAAAAGUGUUGUUGUUUGUUUAUUUAUGGUUUAGUGUUGUUGUUUACAAAAGAAUGCAACUAGUGUUUAUGUUAUUGGUUUUAUUUGAAGUUUAGUUAAAAAAGUUAGUAGUGCGUUGUAGAGUUGCCGGUGUUUAAAUAUAGUGCUAAAAACGGGAAAACGGUACGGUCGGUAAAAUAAAAUAUAAAAUUAUGACUACAGAAUAAACGCUUAUACAAUAUUUUAAUAGAAUUUAAAUGUGUGUUUGUAUUUCAAAUGAAUAUUUUAUUUAGAAUUGUUAAGAAUUGCAAAAUUAUUUAGCAAUAACUUAAUAAAAUUUUGCGUCAUAGGAAAUGUUUGAACAAAGGAAAUUAGUGAAAUUAUGGGAAAAUUUUAUGCAGCAGGAAAUUUAAUAAGCAAAUAAAGGCAGGCCACUUGAAAAACUCAG
Lucilia sericata (common green bottle fly) is the source of this 867-nucleotide long non-coding RNA. RefSeq lists it as uncharacterized. NCBI's taxonomy places the organism in Eukaryota, Metazoa, Arthropoda, Insecta, Diptera, Calliphoridae. The record is from RefSeq and is a predicted model, not a curated record. The transcript has 3 exons.